CCUACGGGAGGCAGCAGUGAGGAAUAUUGGUCAAUGGGAGGAAUCCUGAACCAGCCAUGCCGCGUGCAGGACGACGGCUCUACGAGUUGUCAACUGCUUUUGUACCGGGGUAAAAUGCCUUACGUGUAGGGUUUUGAAAGUACGGUACGAAUAAGGAUCGGCUAACUCCGUGCCAGCAGCCGCGGUAAUACGGAGGAUCCGAGCGUUAUCCGGAUUCAUUGGGUUUAAGGGGUGCGUAGGUUGUUUUAUAAGUUAGCGGUGAAAUACCGAUGCUAAACAUCGGGGCUGCAGCUAAUAAUGUAAGCCUAGAGAUCCGAUGCAGCAGGCGGAAUGUGUAGUGUAGCGGUGAAAUGCAUAGAUAUUACACAGAACACCGAUUGCGAAGGCAGCUUGCUAAGCCGGAUCUGACACUGAUGCACGAAAGCGUGGGGAUCGAACAGGAUUAGAUACCAUAGUAGUC
Molecule: ribosomal RNA, 460 nt
Filed under: uncultured bacterium
Lineage: Bacteria
Description: partial 16S ribosomal RNA
Rfam family: Bacterial small subunit ribosomal RNA
Source: RNAcentral